Molecule: ribosomal RNA, 468 nt
Filed under: uncultured bacterium
Lineage: Bacteria
Description: partial 16S ribosomal RNA
Rfam family: Bacterial small subunit ribosomal RNA
Source: RNAcentral
GACGAACGCUGGCGGCGUGCUUAACACAUGCAAGUCGAACGGAAAGGCCCUGCUUUUGUGGGGUGCUCGAGUGGCGAACGGGUGAGUAACACGUGAGUAACCUGCCCUUGACUUUGGGAUAACUUCAGGAAACUGGGGCUAAUACCGGAUAGGAGCUCCUGCUGCAUGGUGGGGGUUGGAAAGUUUCGGCGGUUGGGGAUGGACUCGCGGCUUAUCAGCUUGUUGGUGGGGUAGUGGCUUACCAAGGCCUUGACGGGUAGCCGGCCUGAGAGGGUGACCGGCCACAUUGGGACUGAGAUACGGCGCAGACUCCUACGGGAGGCAGCAGUGGGGAAUAUUGCACAAUGGGCGGAAGCCUGAUGCAGCAACGCCGCGUGCGGGAUGACGGCCUUCGGGUUGUAAACCGCUUUCGCCUGUGACGAAGCGUGAGUGACGGUAAUGGGUAAAGAAGCACCGGCUAACUACGUG